RNAcentral lists this long non-coding RNA (292 nucleotides) under Panax ginseng (ginseng). RNAcentral describes it as "long non-coding RNA (PGIN_LNC000737)". The record is from RNAcentral. Lineage: Eukaryota; Viridiplantae; Streptophyta; Magnoliopsida; Apiales; Araliaceae.
UAAUAUAAGAUAAGAAAUGACAGUAAAAGGGGCCAAUUUAACUGUUUCAAAAGUCAAAUUUUUCUACAUCAAUAUGUUCAGCAUGGUUUAAUACUAACAUUUACUAUGUUGAAUAUUUUUUAUCAAGUCAUAUCAGCAUGCAUAUUCACUACUAUGUGUCUAAAUGCAUUUCAUGCGAUAAGUCAUUUUCCAACGGACAAAAAUUGGAAAAAAAAAUAUAUGAAUGUGUUACCAGGACAGUGAAGAACGCUUGUACGGUGGUAGAAUAUGCAGAAAGUUGCCCGAACUCAGC